RNAcentral lists this ribosomal RNA (403 nucleotides) under bacterium. Its description in RNAcentral is "partial 16S ribosomal RNA". It matches the Rfam family "Bacterial small subunit ribosomal RNA", at positions 355 to 776 of the family's 1533-position model. The record is from RNAcentral.
UGGGGAAUCUUGCACAAUGGGGGAAACCCUGAUGCAGCGACGCCGCGUGAGCGAUGAAGGUUUUCGAAUCGUAAAGCUCUGUCCUAUGGGAAGAUAAUGACGGUACCAUAGGAGGAAGCCCCGGCUAACUACGUGCCAGCAGCCGCGGUAAUACGUAGGGGGCGAGCGUUGUCCGGAAUUACUGGGCGUAAAGGGUUCGCAGGCGGCAUGACAAGUCCGAUGUAAAAGGCGAAAGCUCAACUUUCGUAAGCAUCGGAAACUGUCAAGCUUGAGUGAAGGAGAUGCAAGUGGAAUUCCUAGUGUAGCGGUGGAAUGCGUAGAUAUUAGGAGGAAUACCGGUGGCGAAGGCGACUUGCUGGACUUCAACUGACGCUGAGGAACGAAAGCGUGGGUAGCAAACAGG